CUGGCCGGUGUGGAAAAUUGGAUGCUGGACUAGCUGAAUCCACUCUGUUCCAGCAGGCCCUUCUCCAGUUCUAGGCUCAGUCUAAGAUGGAGCUGUGCAAAACUACAAGACAAGUUGCAGGACUGCCUCCAGAUUUCAUGUUCCAAAAGAAGUAAACUGCCCAGAGAUGGAAAUUUGGGGCAGAAUUGCUUAGAACUGCUAUUACAGUUGCGCAGAUGGGAAACAAGCAUGCAUGCUGUACUACCCCAAAGCAAUACCAGUUCAAAAUCCUGAUAUUCUGACAAGCUGCUUCUGCCCAUCAGAAACUUCUUUCUUUUCCAAUAAAUUAAGAAUGUAUUUCCCCCAUUCUACCCACAUUCAGAUUGCAAAAACUGUUUCUUUCACGACUCACUCAGGAAAAUGGAUGUGACACAAACUUCAAUAACUUCUUAUAAUAUCUCAAAAAUAAUCCCAGCUUUAGAAGGAUCAUAUGGUUCUGGUUUAAAUCCCAGCAAUGUAAUGCAGUAACAAGGCCCUACACAGCACAUAAAUGGAAAUCUCUAAACUAACCUAGUGUAGUGGUUUGAAAAAAAUUAGGCAAUUGUUACCAUGUACAAACUUAGCAGGUACAGCAAGACAGAAAUUUUAAUUUUAGAAUACUUUUCACUUCCCAAUUUGGACUGGGUUGUUCUUGUUUCUAAACAGCUAGCAAUCUUUUUCUCAUCCUAUUUUAUGGUCCAUACGUCCAUCAACAAGCUAGACAGACAUAUGGAAAUGAGGUUAUUUUCCCCCUUCACAUUUCUUUUAAUUUGUAAAAGCACCAAAGAGUCCUUAAAAACUAAUGCAUCAAUUCUAGCAUAAGCUUUCCUGGACUAGAGUCAACUUAAUCUGAUGAAAUGGACUCCAGUUCACAAAAACUUAGGCAACAAUAGAUGUUUUAAGAUACCACAAAGAUUGAUAUUUUCCCUGCAACAGACUGGAAAGUUUUUAAUUUGUAGUUAUACUGUGUGUGGU
Molecule: long non-coding RNA, 993 nt
Organism: Hemicordylus capensis (graceful crag lizard)
Lineage: Eukaryota; Metazoa; Chordata; Lepidosauria; Squamata; Cordylidae
Exons: 3
Source: RefSeq, a predicted model, not a curated record